Triticum aestivum (bread wheat) is the source of this 3716-nucleotide long non-coding RNA. RefSeq lists it as uncharacterized. Lineage: Eukaryota; Viridiplantae; Streptophyta; Magnoliopsida; Poales; Poaceae. The transcript is spliced from 2 exons. The record is from RefSeq and is a predicted model, not a curated record.
CUCCCACGGCCAUAUCACCCGCGCCGCCGGCCGCUCCUCCCUAGCGCACGCCACCUGCGGCUGCCACGCCAUGGCAGGCACUGAGUCGUUGCGGCAGUACAAUUGCACGCUCCGCCGCUGGUCAUGAGAAGAGCUGCGUGCAGGCCACCCAUGCUCUUUUCCCUGGAUCCGAUUCAGUUGCCUUCCUCUCAUCCUCUCUCUGUUUGCGUGUGUGUAUGAAGGAAGUGAGAGGAGAUAGAACAAGGGAGUGACAGAUCCCCAUUCUCAUGUCUGUGAGAUGUGGGUGUGUGAUUUCCCAAUGUCAAAUCCCACGUUUGUCUUGAUUAGUUGUAGUUUUAUGGAUCUUGUUCUUGUGCAAUGUAAAUCUGUGUAUAGUUCACCUAUUUUCUCUCUAAAACUGUGAGCUGAUAGAGCAGAGAUGAGUUGACGGUGUGGGUUCAGGUAGUGAGAUUUGCAGCUAGUUGUUUACUUGCUUAGGUGGUUGCAAGGGCUUAGUCCAUGAGUUCUAUUUGAUUAUAGUCAGGCCACUAGUUAGUAUUGUGGUACUCCGUUGCAAGAAAAAUGGGUCGUCGGUUCAGUUAUAGGUACCCAACUCUGAAGAUUUUGAAAUUUUAGCAUGGUAUUUUAAGUUUGUUUUUUAUCAUAUAAUGUAAAAUUGUAAAUAUGUUUCCAAUGGUCUUUGCUCCCAGUUCGGAACUUCUUAUUCAGUCUGUUAGUACAGUCGUCGCGGUCGCCACCCCGACGCCUAGCCCGCCAACCUGCGUCGUGUUGCCCCGGGACCCCCGAGCACUGCCGCGCCCCAUCGCCGGUGCCUGACGCUCGAUCCAGGAGGUGCUAGCUCAUACUGGCUGGAACUAGGAUGCAAAAGCGAUGACGGAUCCAUGCCGCACAAGCACUGGUGCUCUGCAUUCUUCUUACUUUGUGUUCUAAUUUGCUUUCUUCUUAUUUUCAGUUUGCGAGAUACAAAAAGAAGUUAAAAAAAUGUUGUGCCUGGAGUUCAUAUUAUUUGCUACCCCAUGAUGUACGUCUAUAGUUUCUCCCUCCAAAUGUGUUGGUCCAUGUGGUUGUUUUUUUUUGUUUUGAAUCUACGAAAAAGGUUAUUAAAGCACAAAUUUGAUAAGCACAUAAGUUCAGAUCUCCGCUGCUACAAACUUCACGUAUACAUCUGUCUGUUUUAAUUGUGGCAUACAAAUUUUGCACUACGAGAAAGUCCAGAGGCAAGAAAGUAGAAAAUAAAGAACACAAAAAUAUCAACAAAAAAUUCACUAGGGGAAAAGUUCAAGUCAGGAUAUGUAAGAAAAGUUCUUAUUUUAUUUCAGUUCAAUUUCAAAUUCUAGUGAAAUUUCAUUUCUAAUUUUAAUUUAGUCUAGUUUCUUAUUUUAGUUUAGUUCAAUAUCUAAUUUUUAUUCAGUUCAAUUCUUAUUUUAGAAAAAAAUUGAAUUGUUACUUUAUCUACAUUCUUCUAUUCAACAUCAGGGAGAAGGUGCCUCAUGUUAAAAGCGUGCCAAGAUUUUCUAAGUACCCCAGACCCAUCCUGGCGCCGCCCGGCCCCAACCUCCAACCUCCCUGGAUCCUGGCACUACCUCCUCCCUGGAUCCCGGCGCCGCACGCUCCUAUCUCCCCAGAUCCCCACGACGCCUAGUCCCCAACCUCUCUGGCUCCUGGCACCGCCAACCGCCAUCCUCUGCCAGCUCCGUUAGCCGCCUCCACCUGUUUCCUCCUGCGGGUCGAACGGUGCGAAUCUGGCCGACGUGGCAGGGCUGUGAGACUCGCCGGGGUCGAGCUCCUCCGCCUCUAGCCGUCGAUCCAUAGUUCAUUGUCAGUACAGGUUCUGAAACUGCCUAGUACAUGUUGGGGGACAUUUCUGGAAUCAUGUAUCCUAGCUAGCUUGCAGCUGUAAUUUUGAUUGCAUAGCAGUAUAGUUUAGUUGUCUCUGAAGUUUUGAUUCACAGCAGUACAAUUUAGUCCCAGCUGCCAUGAUUCUGCAAACCAUUGUGCUCCCAAAAGAUGGUGCUUUGUUGCAACAAGUUGUGGGAAAAAUGCAGUGAAAAAAAUAAAAUGUGCUCCCACAAGUUCAUAUGAUAUAUUGUUGUUAAUUCAAUUUCUUUUAUAUACCUCUACACAUGUUUGUUGAAAUGCUGACACGGAGCUAGACUUGUUUUUUUGUUCAUGUUUCUUGUUUCUUAAAACAACCGGUAUACUACUAUCAAAAUUGAAGCCACAAUAAAGAUCUCAUCUCUAAAUUGAUGAUUCAGCCAUGUUUGCUUGUGUGUACUGCUGAACUGACAAUGUUACUAAACUUGUGUUCUCGCUGAUUCUGAACUGUUGCUGGUAGCAUUUGUGAUGCUCGUCUGAUUUUGGUUGGAAGUUUAAUGAAUCCAUACAUAGUUCAACUUUUAGGAAGUUAAAAGUUCAACGAGUGUCUUAGAGAAAACUUGGAAGUUUUGUCUAUAUAAAAAAGAUAACAAAAUAUAUGUGUUCUGACCUAAGAUGUUCAGGAAAGAGUUCCAGACCAUCCCCGGUCGCCGCGUUCCCGGGAAGCCAUGCGACAGCCACCACCACUGCGAGCAACAACCACCAUCACUGCUAGCUGCCGGUGCAGCGUCCCACCAGCCCCCAUGCGCCUCCAUCCCUCAAGCUCCCAGAUGCGUCGUCGUGAACCCUUUGUUCCCCAUCGCUGCCUCCUCCAACUCCUUUCAUGGCUCUGGAAAAUCACUGAUCAGGUAUGUUCAGUUCAGACCACACUAAAAUGGCCAAAUUAUAGAUAAAUAUUUGCAUUGUCCUAAAUUCUUCCACUCUCUGGAAACAAAGUCGCGGAAUGGAUGUGAUCAGAGUAUACUUCCAUGGUUUUGCAAGAAAUCAUACAAUAAGUGUAUCAUUCACUAUGUAUUUUAUCAUCAGUUAAAAUGUAAUCAUAGAAAAAGUUCAAUUUGUGUUAUUGAAACAGCUCAAUUUAUCGGUAUUGUGGAGAUCAUGCAUGACUAGUAUUUAUGUUCUCAAGAUAUGAGAGAGUGGGAUGUUCGCAUGAUUGUGGCUGGUUGGAGUGUAUGGUCUUGUGGAGAUCAUGCAUGUUAUUUUCUUAUGCACGCUGUAUAUAUAUACUACUAGAAGUUCUAGUACCUAUAUUACUACAAUUCGCUAAUAAAAAAUGUAUUAGUUCAUUGUGUGUAGCACAUGGUUAACACAUAUAAUUACAAAACAAUUACUUGAACUAUACAAGAGCUCAGCUUUUACUUGAUUUACAGUUCAAAUUUUGCGUUAUUUUCAGUACAUCAACUUUAAUGUGCAGAACAUCGAGGAAAUCCUGGAAAAUUAUAUGUGCACUCUACGUAUUUUCUUAUGCUUACAAGAAUUCUGCACUCAUACUGUUAUGCAUCAGUUCAGGUCGCCCGUGGAGUUUUAGAUAUAUGCAAAAUCGGAUUAGAGCACCAUGCUCUCACCCAAAAGUUUGAAAAACCAUUGCUUUCCGUUCUGGUAACAUAUGUUUUUGUUUCAGUUUUGCUAAUUCUUUCUCCAAUGGGCCUUUAUAUAUUAUCUUUCACUUGUCUUACUAUAUGAAAAAAUAUGUGGCCUUUAGCGAGCAAUCUUGCUCAGUUUUCUGGUUAAAAAAACAGACAACAUGGAUUUACCAUGUUCUAUCAAAGAAAGCUGGAGUUCAAAUUCUAAUUUUAGUACAGUGAAGAUCAAUGGGAAAAUGCACAAAAAGUUCAGACUCU